GUGCUCGCUUUGGCAGCACAUAUACUAAAACUGGAACGAUACAGAGAAGAUUAGCAUGGCCCCCUGCACAAGGAUGACACGCAAAUUCGUGAAGCGUUCCAUAUUUUU
This 108-nucleotide small nuclear RNA is filed under the name Octodon degus (degu). The record is from RNAcentral. Lineage: Eukaryota; Metazoa; Chordata; Mammalia; Rodentia; Octodontidae.